UACGUAGGGACCGAGCGUUGUCCGGAAUCAUUGGGCGUAAAGAGCGUGUAGGCGGCUUGCUAAGUCUUGCGUGAAAUCUCGGGGCUCAACCCCGAGCGGUCGUGGGAAACUGGCAGGCUAGAGUGCGGGAGAGGUGAGUGGAACUGCGAGUGUAGAGGUGAAAUUCGUAGAUAUUCGCAAGAACACCGGUGGCGAAGGCGGCCAACUGGACCAUUACUGACGCUGAGGCGCGAAAGCGUGGGGAGCAAACAGG
RNAcentral lists this ribosomal RNA (253 nucleotides) under uncultured bacterium. RNAcentral describes it as "partial 16S ribosomal RNA". It matches the Rfam family "Bacterial small subunit ribosomal RNA", at positions 524 to 776 of the family's 1533-position model. The record is from RNAcentral.